AGUUUGAUCCUGGCUCAGAGCGAACGCUGGCGGCAGGCUUAACACAUGCAAGUCGAACGGGCGUAGCAAUACGUCAGUGGCAGACGGGUGAGUAACGCGUGGGAACGUACCUUUUGGUUCGGAACAACCCAGGGAAACUUGGGCUAAUACCGGAUAAGCCCUUACGGGGAAAGAUUUAUCGCCGAAAGAUCGGCCCGCGUCUGAUUAGCUUGUUGGUGAGGUAACGGCUCACCAAGGCGACGAUCAGUAGCUGGUCUGAGAGGAUGAUCAGCCACAUUGGGACUGAGACACGGCCCAAACUCCUACGGGAGGCAGCAGUGGGGAAUAUUGGACAAUGGGCGCAAGCCUGAUCCAGCCAUGCCGCGUGAGUGAUGAAGGCCCUAGGGUUGUAAAGCUCUUUUGUGCGGGAAGAUAAUGACGGUACCGCAAGAAUAAGCCCCGGCUAACUUCGUGCCAGCAGCCGCGGUAAUACGAAGGGGGCUAGCGUUGCUCGGAAUUACUGGGCGUAAAGGGUGCGUAGGCGGGUCUUUAAGUCAGGGGUGAAAUCCUGGAGCUCAACUCCAGAACUGCCUUUGAUACUGAGGAUCUUGAGUUCGGGAGAGGUGAGUGGAACUGCGAGUGUAGAGGUGAAAUUCGUAGAUAUUCGCAAGAACACCAGUGGCGAAGGCGGCUCACUGGCCCGAUACUGACGCUGAGGCACGAAAGCGUGGGGAGCAAACAGGAUUAGAUACCCUGGUAGUUCACGCCG
Molecule: ribosomal RNA, 748 nt
Filed under: uncultured bacterium
Lineage: Bacteria
Description: bacterial SSU rRNA
Rfam family: Bacterial small subunit ribosomal RNA
Source: RNAcentral